RNAcentral lists this ribosomal RNA (460 nucleotides) under uncultured bacterium. RNAcentral's name for it is "partial 16S ribosomal RNA". It matches the Rfam family "Bacterial small subunit ribosomal RNA", at positions 338 to 795 of the family's 1533-position model. The record is from RNAcentral.
CCUACGGGAGACAGCAGUGAGGAAUAUUGGUCAAUGGGCGUAAGCCUGAACCAGCCAAGUCGCGUGAGGGAUGAAGGUUCUAUGGAUCGUAAACCUCUUUUAUAAGGGAAUAAAGUGUGGGACGUGUCCUGUUUUGUAUGUACCUUAUGAAUAAGGAUCGGCGAACUCCGUGCCAGCAGCCGCGGUAAUACGGAGGAUCCGAGCGUUAUCCGGAUUUAUUGGGUUUAAAGGGUGCGUAGGCGGCCUUUUAAGUCAGCGGUGAAAGUCUGUGGCUCAACCAUAGAAUUGCCGUUGAAAAUGGGAGGCUUGAGUAUGUUUGAGGCAGGCGGAAUGCGUGGUGUAGCGGUGAAAUGCUUAGAUAUCACGCAGAACCCCGAUUGCGAAGGCAGCCUGCCAAGCCAUGACUGACGCUGAUGCACGAAAGCGUGGGGAUCAAACAGGAUUAGAUACCCCUGUAGUC